CAGACAUAAGUUUACAGAAAUCGACUAGGGAAAAUUUAGAGCCAGCUUCAAUCGCAAUAUUAUUAUUAGUAGCUUGUAUUGGGUUGAUGUGACUUCACAACUGUGAAGGUAAAAUGAAUACACACUAUUGCACAGGCUAGUUUAAAUUUCACUUUGGAGAAGAAGAAACAAACAAGAUAUCACUAUUGGUGACUUAAGUCAUUCCUGCCUCCUCCAAAGAUGGGAAUGUUCAUGUUAUUGUGGAUUGUAUUUUCGUCAAACGCAGCUUAUGGUCGAGAGUGGUUGUAUUACGUGGUGCAAUGGGACCAUUUACUCAGUCUUGAGCCAAAUUCACCUCAACAGUUCAUGUUCGGAACCACUAAAGGCGAUACAAACAGUUGUUUUGAAUUCUGCUAUUUUACUGAAGAAUGCAAUAUGAUUAUUGAAUCCGAAUGCUGUUGUUAUGCCAGUGGCUUUCCAACAACCGACACUUAUUAUUUCAUAAUGAGUAGCAGCUACCAAAAUAAAGUAUGGUUGAAACGUCCAGUCCACGUUUGUGAUGUGCCAGGGUUUAUUUAUUAAAAAGAGGUAUGUUUUAAAAUAUUUGAAGACAUCACUAAAACAUGGGGUGAUGCCAAGCAAGAAUGUGAGCUCUUAGGAGGACGACUAAUUGUGUUAGAUUCAGAAUACAAACAUAACACUACUGUGGAAGCAUUACACAAUUUUUCUCCUAAUCCAUACGCUGGUCAAUAUUUUGUCGGCGCUACAGAUAUAGGGAGUGAGGAUACUUGGCGCUGGGUAGACGAACACAACAUGGGACCAGCAGCAUAUAUGAGGUUCCAUGGGCUCAAUCCUAAUAAUUAUGAUAUGCACUACCCUGGGGAAGACGCUAAUUGUGGCGUUCUGAAAAUGAGACAAGAUGGGAUAGUAGAUGAUUACUGCCUCCAGGAAAAGGGGUUUAUAUGUGAAUACGUUAAAGGAUUACCGUGAUAAAGAAGGGUCUCUAUGAUUUCUUUGACUGCCAACAUCAAACAAAUAUUUGUUUAACUAUAACAGUAUAUCUGUGAAUAAAUUAUCUUUCAAACAAAAUAAGUAUCCAGAUUAAGUGCUGUGCGUGGGAAAACAA
Molecule: long non-coding RNA, 1105 nt
Organism: Mytilus trossulus (common blue mussel)
Lineage: Eukaryota; Metazoa; Mollusca; Bivalvia; Mytilida; Mytilidae
Exons: 4
Source: RefSeq, a predicted model, not a curated record